GACGAACGCUGGCGGCGUGCUUAACACAUGCAAGUCGAGCGGUAAGGCCCUUUCGGGGGUACACGAGCGGCGAACGGGUGAGUAACACGUGGGUGACCUGCCCUCAGCUCUGGGAUAAGCCUGGGAAACCGGGUCUAAUACUGGAUAUGACUCCAUGACGCAUGUUGUGGGGUGGAAAGCCUUGUGCGGCUGAGGAUGGGCCCGCGGCCUAUCAGCUUGGUUGGUGGGGUGANGGCCUACCAAGGCGACGACGGGUAGCCGGCCUGAGAGGGCGACCGGCCACACUGGGACUGAGACACGGCCCAGACUCCUACGGGAGGCAGCAGGUGGGGAAUCUUGCGCAAUGGGCGAAAGCCUGACGCAGCGACGCCGCGUGAGGGAUGACGGCCUGG
Molecule: ribosomal RNA, 392 nt
Filed under: uncultured bacterium
Lineage: Bacteria
Description: bacterial SSU rRNA
Rfam family: Bacterial small subunit ribosomal RNA
Source: RNAcentral